CAACCCUUAAGCCUAGCUUAGUGUUGGGAAUCUACCCUGUAGCUACCCUGUAGCUACCCUGUAGUUCCUCAAAUUUACCGGCGGAGACGUGGUAUCCUCUGAGCGUAGUAGCUUCUAUUCUCGCUUUUGUAGGUGCCUCGGCCCUUGCCGUAAAACCCCCCAAUUUUUAAU
RNAcentral lists this unclassified non-coding RNA (171 nucleotides) under uncultured fungus. RNAcentral describes it as "sequence contains ITS2". The record is from RNAcentral. RNAcentral also lists the same sequence under 1 other name. Lineage: Eukaryota; Fungi.